This 297-nucleotide ribosomal RNA is filed under the name Clostridioides difficile. RNAcentral describes it as "partial 23S ribosomal RNA". It matches the Rfam family "Bacterial large subunit ribosomal RNA", at positions 1536 to 1845 of the family's 2925-position model. Lineage: Bacteria; Bacillati; Bacillota; Clostridia; Peptostreptococcales; Peptostreptococcaceae. The record is from RNAcentral.
GCAAAUCCGCUUUGAUAAUGCUGGGGUGUGAUGGGGAGCGAAAUUUAGUAGCGAAGUAGCAGAUGUCACGCUGUGAAGAAAAGUCGCGAUCGGGGUGAAAGGGACCCGUGCCGGGAACCGAGACGGGGGGGUGAGGAGAGUAUCCGAAGGCCAGCGAGAGAACUGUGGUGAAGGAGCUCGGCAAAAUGACCCCGUAACUUAGGGAUAAGGGGUGCCACCAUCAGGUGGCCGCAGAGAAUAGGCCCAAGCGACUGUUUACCAAAAACAUAGGUUUCUGCUAAGUCGCAAGACGAUGUA